CAAUAAGCCUCACCUGGGCCACCAUCCACUCCCCUACUGGGGGGGGGAAAGGAGGGGAGGGAAGGUGGCCUGAGUACCUACUUAAGCUCAGCUCCAGGAUGUUUACUUUUUCUUAGGCUGUGCUGAGCCCUUCUUUUUCAGCUCUUUGCUUUUUUUCUUUUCUUGGGCAUCGGUUAUGUUUUGUUUUCAUCUUUGCUUGGCUCUUGCUGGAGCAUUUGAGGGAUUCGUUGGAGUCACUGGUUUGUCCUGGCUGUUCCUGGGGAGCUACUCUUUGCUUGUGACCCCCUGAAAGCAGUUCAGAUCCACAUAGCUGAAGAGAAAAACCUGAAACCUUACCACAUAGUUGAAGAGAAAAACCUGAAACCUUUAACCCUAAACAUUUUGAAACCAGAAGUCUAGUGAGGAAGCUAAAGUGUGCUACUGCAUUUAUGAUGGAAGAUUGGAAAUACCAUCCUUGUUGCAAUACUGCCUGAAUUCAGGGAAUCGUCUUUGAAAUUAUCUACAUCACCAUUCACUGAUGACAAGCUAAUAUCCUUAAAACAGCUUUCUGUUGAUUCAGUAUGAAGCUGACAGCUGAUGUUAACUAUCCUUCUAUGACUUAUUGUACCUACUGGGUUCACUGCGAUGGAAGAGAAUAAGUAACGCAGCAUCUAAACUGUACUGUGAACAAAGACCUACAGGAAGCAAGCAGAUUGCACAGAUCUUAAGCCAAAACUGGGAAGGUAGCUGUGCCAUAUGGGUUGUGAUAUAAUGGUUGCAGUCUCUGUCUAGGCUCUGGCUGUUGCUCCAUGAAAGAUUAACAUCUCCAAGAUCUGUGUCUGAUACAUAAAUUAUUCACGGAACUGUGUCACAUAAAGGUAUGACUAAGCUCAUCUUACAGCAUAGACUUCAGUUUCUUCUUACAUGAGAACUGCUGAUAGUUACACACCGAGAAAGGGGAAAGGCUUAGCACAUGAUCAUCUUUCCUCUCCAUUAAGUUUAUGCACUUUGGCUUCACGUUAUGAUGCACAGCAUGGUGGAACAGAGGCUUCUAGAGAAGGCUGUUACUUUUGCAUAGCCUGUGCUGAUGAUCACAAAGUGGUAACAAAAACAUUUAAAAUGAGAAAAUGCAAAAUUGAAGCUAACAUUCUGUCCAAUGAAGGCAAAAGAACUGGAAUUUAAGGAACAAUAAUCUACGUUCUCUGAUGAGCACUCUACUACAGAGCUUGACAGUGUUGAUCCUGGAUGAGCAGUCAUCCACAGCUUGACACAGUGAAAUAUCUUCAGAAGGAUGGGCUUAGAUAGCCUCAUUCCUGGUGCCCAACAUGGAAUAUGUGCACUGUUUGAAGAAGGUUCUUUUUAACUGACAAGCUGGUAUUUGACAGCCUCUACGACUUCAUCACCCACUACUGAGAAACACCAAUGAGGUACAACGGACUUGAGAUGAGGCUGACAGAGCCGGUGCCUCGGUCCAACACUCACAGCAAUGUGGACUGGGUGCCGCGGGACGGCACAAGAGGGACAAGCCCAGCUCCAGCACCAUCUACUUCGGGGCAGGAUGGAAGAUCCAGCACUGCUGCACGCAUUGGCAAGAGGGUCACGUUUAAUAAGGCACUUGACCAAGUGCAUAUUGUUCAUCACACAAAAUAAAAGUUCUUG
Gallus gallus (chicken) is the source of this 1638-nucleotide long non-coding RNA. The record is from Ensembl. Lineage: Eukaryota; Metazoa; Chordata; Aves; Galliformes; Phasianidae.